UACAGAGGUCUCAAGCGUUGUUCGGAUUCAUUGGGCGUAAAGGGUGCGUAGGCGGCGCGGUAAGUCGGGUGUGAAAUCUCGGGGCUUAACUCCGAAACUGCAUUCGAUACUGCCGUGCUUGAGGACUGGAGAGGAGACUGGAAUUUACGGUGUAGCGGUGAAAUGCGUAGAUAUCGUAAGGAAGACCAGUGGCGAAGGCGGGUCUCUGGACAGUACCUGACGCUGAGGCACGAAGGCCAGGGGAGCAAACGGG
This 253-nucleotide ribosomal RNA is filed under the name uncultured bacterium. RNAcentral describes it as "partial 16S ribosomal RNA". It matches the Rfam family "Bacterial small subunit ribosomal RNA", at positions 524 to 776 of the family's 1533-position model. The record is from RNAcentral.